This 253-nucleotide ribosomal RNA is filed under the name uncultured bacterium. Its description in RNAcentral is "partial 16S ribosomal RNA". It matches the Rfam family "Bacterial small subunit ribosomal RNA", at positions 524 to 776 of the family's 1533-position model. The record is from RNAcentral.
UACAGAGGGGGCAAGCGUUGUUCGGAAUUACUGGGCGUAAAGGGCGCGUAGGCGGCCUGUUAAGUCGAACGUGAAAUCCCCGGGCUCAACCCGGGAACUGCGUCCGAUACUGGAAGGCUUGAAUUCGGGAGAGGGAUGCGGAAUUCCAGGUGUAGCGGUGAAAUGCGUAGAUAUCUGGAGGAACACCGGUGGCGAAGGCGGCAUCCUGGACCGGCAUUGACGCUGAGGCGCGAAAGCCAGGGGAGCAAACGGG